RNAcentral lists this ribosomal RNA (253 nucleotides) under uncultured bacterium. RNAcentral describes it as "partial 16S ribosomal RNA". It matches the Rfam family "Bacterial small subunit ribosomal RNA", at positions 524 to 776 of the family's 1533-position model. The record is from RNAcentral.
UACGGGGGGGGCAAGCGUUGUUCGGAAUUACUGGGCGUAAAGGGCUCGUAGGCGGCCAACUAAGUCAGACGUGAAAUCCCUCGGCUUAACCGGGGAACUGCAUCUGAUACUGGAUGGCUUGAGAUUGGGAGAGGGAUGCGGAAUUCCAGGUGUAGCGGUGAAAUGCGUAGAUAUGCGGAGGAACACCGAUGGCGAAGGCAAUCCCCUGGGCCUGUACUGACGCUCAUGCACGAAAGCGUGGGGAGCAAACAGG